AUUUUACAUUACAAAACCAAACAAAAUAGUUAGUGUGGCUCCUCAAGAAGCUCUCGGCCAAGACGACUCCUAUACCAGUGAAAAAUGAAUUUGUUGAAUAUUGUUGGAACGGCCGGUGCGACUUUUAGCUAACUUAGCGGAAUAUCGAGGUUUAGCAGACGGUCGGGUGCAGGACGGUCAGCGCACAAGUUAGAGUUCCUGCAGCCUCUUUUCUUAUUUUUGGAAGUGAUUUUGAGCUAUUAAGAUAAUUUGAACAAGUUAGAGCUUUGAAGUCUAAGUAAAAGCCCAAGAAAUUAAGGCGGAAUCACGUUCGGGGAUCGAGGACUAAGUUUGGAUGUCAAAAAGUGAGGAAAAAAUAUUACUCUAAGAAAAUUGCACUACCGCGCCGCGCCAUGCGUAACGGGGCGCUAGAGCAAAAUUCUUGCAGAGUGUAAAAAUCAACUCUCUGAACUUUUCCACAGGCACACUGUGUGGGGCGGCGCGCCAUGCGCCGCGCAUGUGCAAUUUUUACAAAGUAUUUCUCCUAGUUCACCUUGAAAAGGAUAGUUUCGUCCAGACUCAUUCUUACAUGAUAUAAAUACACCAAAAAUACGAAAUUUAGAGAACUCUUGAAUUUGGAAGCUUUGGGAGAGCAUUGGAGGCAACAAGACACGGGAUUUCAUCAUCUUUCCAUCAAUUCAAUACAAGAAUUUGGAUUGUAACAUUAGAUUGAUACUUUCUUAUUCUUUAAUUAUAUUUGUGAUUAUUUCCUCCAUGAUUAUGGAGUAGUUUCCUAUAGGGUUUGACGGAUUUGGUAUGUUGAUAAAUAUUUGUGGAUUUCGACUCUAGUUCAUGCUUGAAUUCGUUUA
Long non-coding RNA from Nicotiana tabacum (common tobacco), 848 nucleotides. RefSeq lists it as uncharacterized. Lineage: Eukaryota; Viridiplantae; Streptophyta; Magnoliopsida; Solanales; Solanaceae. The record is from RefSeq and is a predicted model, not a curated record.